UCACAUGCAAGUCGAACGAGAAACCUCGGGCUGCUCGAGGGAGUAAAGUGGCGCACGGGUGAGUAACGCGUGGGUAACCUGCCCUUGGAUCGGGGAUAACUUCGCGAAAGCGUAGCUAAUACCGGAUAAUGUCCUGUUGACUUCGGUCUUCAGGAUGAAAGAUGACCUCUUCAUGAAAGUUGUCGUUCAGGGAGGGGCCCGCGUACCAUUAGCUUGUUGGUGGGGUAAUGGCCCACCAAGGCAACGAUGGUUAGCUGGUCUGAGAGGAUGAUCAGCCACACUGGAACUGAAACACGGUCCAGACUCCUACGGGAGGCAGCAGUGAGGAAUUUUGCGCAAUGGGGGAAACCCUGACGCAGCAACGCCGCGUGAGUGAAGAAGGCUUUCGGGUCGUAAAGCUCUGUCAAGUGGGAAAAAAAGCUCUCGAUUAAUAGUCGGGAGACCUGAUGGUACCACUGGAGGAAGCACCGGCUAACUCCGUGCCAGCAGCCGCGGUAAUACGGAGGGUGCAAGCGUUGUUCGGAAUUACUGGGCGUAAAGAGCGUGUAGGCGGUUUGGCAAGUCAGAUGUGAAAGCCCUGGGCUCAACCCAGGAAGUGCAUUUGAAACUGCCAUCCUUGAGUAUGGGAGAGGAGAGUGGAAUUCCCAAUGUAGAGGUGAAAUUCGUAGAUAUUGGGAGGAACACCCGUGGCGAAGGCGACUCUCUGGACCAAUACUGACGCUGAGACGCGAAAGCGUGGGGAGCAAACAGGAUUAGAUACCCUGGUAGUCCACGCCGUAAACGAUGAGAACUAGGUGUAGCGGGUAUUGACCCCUGCUGUGCCGAAGUUAACGCAUUAAGUUCUCCGCCUGGGGAGUACGGCCGCAAGGCUAAAACUCAGAGGAAUUGACGGGGGCCCGCACAAGCGGUGGAGCAUGUGGUUUAAUUCGACGCAACGCGAAGAACCUUACCUGGGUUUGACAUCCUUUGACCGUCUGGGAAACCAGAUUUUUCCGACUUUGUCGGAACAGAGUGACAGGUGCUGCAUGGCUGUCGUCAGCUCGUGUCGUGAGAUGUUGGGUUAAGUCCCGCAACGAGCGUAACCCUUGUCUUUAGUUGCCAUUAUUAAGUUAGGCACUCUAAAGAGACCGCCUCGGUUAACGGGGAGGAAGGUGGGGAUGACGUCAAGUCCUCAUGGCCUUUAUAUCCAGGGCUACACACGUGCUACAAU
Molecule: ribosomal RNA, 1210 nt
Filed under: metagenome
Description: bacterial SSU rRNA
Rfam family: Bacterial small subunit ribosomal RNA
Source: RNAcentral